UAUUAUGAUGUGAUGAACACCUUAUUUAAGCCAAACAGUUAUCCCUGUCAUAAGAAUAAUUGAUGAUAUAUUCAGCUGACAAAAUA
Drosophila simulans is the source of this 86-nucleotide non-coding RNA. The record is from Rfam. Lineage: Eukaryota; Metazoa; Arthropoda; Insecta; Diptera; Drosophilidae.